UAGGGAAUCUUCGGCAAUGGACGGAAGUCUGACCGAGCAACGCCGCGUGAGUGAAGAAGGUUUUCGGAUCGUAAAGCUCUGUUGUUAGAGAAGAACGUUGGUAGGAGUGGAAAAUCUACCAAGUGACGGUAACUAACCAGAAAGGGACGGCUAACUACGUGCCAGCAGCCGCGGUAAUACGUAGGUCCCGAGCGUUGUCCGGAUUUAUUGGGCGUAAAGCGAGCGCAGGCGGUUCUUUAAGUCUGAAGUUAAAGGCAGUGGCUUAACCAUUGUACGCUUUGGAAACUGGAGGACGUGAGUGCAGAAGGGGGGAGUGGAAUUCCAUGUGUAGCGGUGAAAUGCGUAGAUAUAUGGAGGAACACCGGUGGCGAAAGCGGCUCUCUGGUCUGUAACUGACGCUGAGGCUCGAAAGCGUGGGGAGCAAACAGG
Molecule: ribosomal RNA, 429 nt
Filed under: Bacillota bacterium
Lineage: Bacteria; Bacillati; Bacillota
Description: Firmicutes bacterium partial 16S ribosomal RNA
Rfam family: Bacterial small subunit ribosomal RNA
Source: RNAcentral